This 253-nucleotide ribosomal RNA is filed under the name uncultured bacterium. RNAcentral's name for it is "partial 16S ribosomal RNA". It matches the Rfam family "Bacterial small subunit ribosomal RNA", at positions 524 to 776 of the family's 1533-position model. The record is from RNAcentral.
UACGUAGGGGGCAAGCGUUGUCCGGAUUCAUUGGGCGUAAAGAGCGUGUAGGCGGCCAGGUAGGUCGGUUGUGAAAACUGGAGGCUCAACCUUCAGACGUCGACCGAAACCAUCUGGCUAGAGUCCGGGAGAGGAGAGUGGAAUUCCUGGUGUAGCGGUGAAAUGCGCAGAUAUCAGGAAGAACACCCGUGGCGAAGGCGAAUCCCUGGAAAAUACCUGACACUGAGGCGCGAAAGCCAGGGGAGCGAACGGG